CCUACGGGUGGCAGCAGUGAGGAAUAUUGGUCAAUGGACGAGAGUCUGAACCAGCCAAGUAGCGUGAAGGAUGACUGCCCUAUGGGUUGUAAACUUCUGUUAUAUGGGAAGAAAAUAUGCCACGUGGGGGAGUUUGUAUGUACCAUAUGAAUAAGGAGCGGCUAACUCCGUGCCAGCAGCCGCGGUAAUACGGAGGAUCCGAGCGUUAUCCGGAUUUAUUGGGUUUAAAGGGAGCGUAGGGGGAUUGGUAAGUCAGUUGGGAAAGUUUGCGGCUCAACCGUAAAAUUGCAGUUGAAACUGGCAGUCUUUCGUACAGUAGAGGUGGGCGGCAUUCGUGGUGUCGCGG
This 346-nucleotide ribosomal RNA is filed under the name uncultured bacterium. RNAcentral's name for it is "partial 16S ribosomal RNA". It matches the Rfam family "Bacterial small subunit ribosomal RNA", at positions 338 to 681 of the family's 1533-position model. The record is from RNAcentral.